ACUGUGGUAAUUCUAGAGCUAAUACAUGCACCAAAGCUCCGAUUUUUGAAGAGCGCAUUUAUUAGACUAAAACCAAUCGGGUCUCGGCCCGUGUUUUGGUGACUCUGAAUAGCUAUAGCUGAUCGCAUGGUCAUGUACCGGCGACAUAUCUAUCAAGUAUCUGCCUUAUCAACUUUCGAUGGUAGUUUAUGUGCCUACCAUGGUUGUUACGGGUAACGGAGAAUAAGGGUUCGACUCCGGAGAGGGAGCCUGAGAAACGGCUACCACAUCCAAGGAAGGCAGCAGGCGCGCAAAUUACCCACUCUCGGCAAGAGGAGGUAGUGACGAAAAAUAACGAGACCGUUCUCAAUGAGGCCGGUUAUCGGAAUGGGUACAAUUUAAACCCGUUAACGAGAAUCUAUAAGAGGGCAAGUCUGGUGCCAGCAGCCGCGGUAAUUCCAGCUCUUAAAGUGUAUAUCGUUACUGUUGCGGUUAAAAAGCUCGUAGUUGGAUCUGCGCUAGAGGACUUGGUCCACCUUGGUAGGGUGCUGAACUAAGCUCCUCGGCUAAACAAAACGCCUGGUUGUUCCCGAUGUCGCCUUUACCGGUUGCGUCAGGGUGACUGGCAAUUUUACUUUGAAGAAAUUAGAGUGUUCAAAGCGGGCUUUAAAGCUCGAAUAUUUGUGCAUGGAAUAAUAGAAUAGGAUCUUGGGUCCUACUUUGUUGGUUUUGUGAUCUAAGAUAAUGGUUAAGAGGGACAGACGGGGGCAUUCGUAUCGCUGCGUGAGAGGUGAAAUUCUUGGACCGUAGCGAGACGCCCUACUGCGAAAGCAUUUGCCAAGAAUGUCUUCAUUAAUCAAGAACGAAAGUCAGAGGUUC
RNAcentral lists this ribosomal RNA (858 nucleotides) under Spauligodon saxicolae. Its description in RNAcentral is "bacterial SSU rRNA". It matches the Rfam family "Eukaryotic small subunit ribosomal RNA", at positions 146 to 999 of the family's 1831-position model. The record is from RNAcentral. Lineage: Eukaryota; Metazoa; Nematoda; Chromadorea; Rhabditida; Pharyngodonidae.